RNAcentral lists this ribosomal RNA (497 nucleotides) under uncultured bacterium. RNAcentral describes it as "partial 16S ribosomal RNA". It matches the Rfam family "Bacterial small subunit ribosomal RNA", at positions 28 to 507 of the family's 1533-position model. The record is from RNAcentral.
GAUGAACGCUGGCGGCGUGCCUAAUACAUGCAAGUCGAGCGAACAGACGAGGAGCUUGCUCCUCUGACGUUAGCGGCGGACGGGUGAGUAACACGUGGAUAACCUACCUAUAAGACUGGGAUAACUUCGGGAAACCGGAGCUAAUACCGGAUAAUAUAUUUAACCGCAUGGUUCAAUAGUGAAAGACGGUUUUGCUGUCAUUUAUAGAUGGAUCCGCGCCGCAUUAGCUAGUUGGUAAGGUAACGGCUUACCAAGGCAACGAUGCGUAGCCGACCUGAGAGGGUGAUCGGCCACACUGGAACUGAGACACGGUCCAGACUCCUACGGGAGGCAGCAGUAGGGAAUCUUCCGCAAUGGGCGAAAGCUUGACGGAGCAACGCCGCGUGAGUGAUGAAGGUCUUCGGAUCGUAAAACUCUGUUAUUAGGGAAGAACAAAUGUGUAAGUAACUAUGCACGUCUUGACGGUACCUAAUCAGAAAGCCACGGCUAACUACGUG